This 73-nucleotide ribosomal RNA is filed under the name Bacillus cereus. RNAcentral describes it as "partial 16S ribosomal RNA". It matches the Rfam family "Bacterial small subunit ribosomal RNA", at positions 1 to 71 of the family's 1533-position model. The record is from RNAcentral. Lineage: Bacteria; Bacillati; Bacillota; Bacilli; Caryophanales; Bacillaceae.
CUUUAUUGGAGAGUUUGAUCCUGGCUCAGGAUGAACGCUGGCGGCGUGCCUAAUACAUGCAAGUCGAGCGAAC